Molecule: non-coding RNA, 71 nt
Organism: Phrynosoma platyrhinos (Desert horned lizard)
Lineage: Eukaryota; Metazoa; Chordata; Lepidosauria; Squamata; Phrynosomatidae
Source: the annotation of a GenBank genome assembly
GCCAGCAUGGCAUAGUAGUUUGAGCAUUGGACUACAACUCUGGAGACCAGGGUUCGAGCCCAUGCUUGGCC